CCUACGGGAGGCAGCAGUGGGGAAUAUUGCACAAUGGGGGGAACCCUGAUGCAGCAACGCCGCGUGGGUGAAGACGUCCUUCUGUAUGUUAAGCCCUUUCAGCAGGGAAGAAAAUGACGGUACCUGACCACUAUGCCCCGGCUAACUACGUGCCAGCCGCCGCGGUACUACGUAGGGGGCAAGCGUUAUCCGGAUUUACUGGGUUUAAAGGGAGCGUAGACGGCAAGGCAAGUCUGGGGUGAAAGCCCGUGGCUCAACCACGGGACUGCUUUGGAAACUGUGUGGCUGGAGUGCAGGAGGGGUAAGCGGAAUUCCUGGUGUAGCGGUGAAAUGCGUAGAUAUUACGAGGAACACCGGUGGCGAAGGCGGCUUACUGGACUGUAACUGACGUUGAGGCUCGAAGGCGUGGGGAGCAAACAGGAUUAGAUACCCCUGUAGUC
This 440-nucleotide ribosomal RNA is filed under the name uncultured bacterium. RNAcentral describes it as "partial 16S ribosomal RNA". It matches the Rfam family "Bacterial small subunit ribosomal RNA", at positions 338 to 795 of the family's 1533-position model. The record is from RNAcentral.